This 98-nucleotide small RNA is filed under the name Paenibacillus sp. Its description in RNAcentral is "Guanidine-I sequence". It matches the Rfam family "Guanidine-I riboswitch aptamer". From Rfam's summary of the family: This family represents a conserved RNA structure found upstream of the ykkC and yxkD genes in Bacillus subtilis and related genes in other bacteria. The function of this family is unclear although it has been suggested that it may function to switch on efflux pumps and detoxification systems in response to harmful environmental molecules. Lineage: Bacteria; Bacillati; Bacillota; Bacilli; Caryophanales; Paenibacillaceae. The record is from RNAcentral.
UGAAAUGUUUUCUAGGGUUCCGCAGCAUAACUGUUGGUCUGGUCCGAGAGAAAACUCACAGCGAUGCUGUGUCACGGAAGGAUAAAAGCCUGGGAGAA